GAUGAACGCUAGCUACAGGCUUAACACAUGCAAGUCGAGGGGCAGCAUGAACUUAGCUUGCUAAGUUUGAUGGCGACCGGCGCACGGGUGAGUAACACGUAUGCAACCUGCCCGCCACAGGGGGAUAAGCGGAAGAAAUUCCGUCUAAUACCGCGUGACGCGGCGCCGGGGCAUCCCGGUGCCGCCAAAGGGAUUACCGGUGGCGGAUGGGCAUGCGGCGCAUUAGCUAGUCGGCGGGGUAACGGCCCACCGAGGCGACGAUGCGUAGGGGUUCUGAGAGGAAGGUCCCCCACACUGGUACUGAGACACGGACCAG
Molecule: ribosomal RNA, 316 nt
Filed under: uncultured bacterium
Lineage: Bacteria
Description: bacterial SSU rRNA
Rfam family: Bacterial small subunit ribosomal RNA
Source: RNAcentral